RNAcentral lists this non-coding RNA (498 nucleotides) under Volvox carteri f. nagariensis. RNAcentral's name for it is "Bacterial small subunit ribosomal RNA". It matches the Rfam family "Bacterial small subunit ribosomal RNA", at positions 9 to 483 of the family's 1533-position model. The record is from Rfam by way of RNAcentral. Lineage: Eukaryota; Viridiplantae; Chlorophyta; Chlorophyceae; Chlamydomonadales; Volvocaceae.
GAGUUUGAUCCUGGCUCAGAACGAACGCUGGCGGUAUGCUUAACACAUGCAAGUCGAACGAACAAAAUUGGGGCUUGCUCCAAUUUUAGUGAGUGGCAAACGGGUGAGUAACACGUGGGAAUCUACCUAUCAGUACGGAAUAACAUUUGGAAACAGAUGCUAAUACCGUAUAUUCUCUAAGGAGGAAAGAUUUAUCGCUGAUAGAUGAGCCCGCGCAAGAUUAGGUAGUUGGUAGGGUAAUGGCCUACCAAGCCUACGAUCUUUAGCUGGUCUGAGAGGAUGAUCAGCCACACUGGGACUGAAUCACGGCCCAGACUCCUACGAGAGGCAGCAGUGGGGAAUAUUGGACAAUGGGCGAAAGCCUGAUCCAGCAAUACCGCGUGAAUGAUGAAGGCCUAAAAACUUUUUUUAAAGGAAAUAAUGACAAGUUCCCAAUUACCGUUAUCGGUGCUGGUUCAAAUGUAAUUAUUAGAGAUAAAGGAAUAGAAGGAGUCGUUA